This 253-nucleotide ribosomal RNA is filed under the name uncultured bacterium. RNAcentral describes it as "partial 16S ribosomal RNA". It matches the Rfam family "Bacterial small subunit ribosomal RNA", at positions 524 to 776 of the family's 1533-position model. The record is from RNAcentral.
UACGAAGGGUGCAAACGUUGCUCGGAAUUAUUGGGCGUAAAGCGCACGUAGGCGGCUUAGCAAGUCGGAAGUGAAAUCCCACGGCUCAACCAUGGAAGUGCUUUCGAAACUGCUGAGCUUGAGUACUUAAGAGGAUCGCGGAAUUCCCGGUGUAGAGGUGAAAUUCGUAGAUAUCAGGAGGAACACCGGUGGCGAAGGCGGGUCUCUGGGCCGAUACUGACGCUGAGGAGCGAAAGCGUGGGGAGCGAACAGG